GAUCAUGGCUCAGGACGAACGCUGGCGGCGCGCCUAACACAUGCAAGUCGAACGAGAGAGAAGGAGCUUGCUUCUUCGAUCGAGUGGCGAACGGGUGAGUAACGCGUGAGGAACCUGCCUCAAAGAGGGGGACAACAGUUGGAAACGACUGCUAAUACCGCAUAAGCCCACGGGUCGGCAUCGACCUGAGGGAAAAGGAGCGAUCCGCUUUGAGAUGGCCUCGCGUCCGAUUAGCUUGGG
This 240-nucleotide ribosomal RNA is filed under the name uncultured bacterium. RNAcentral describes it as "partial 16S ribosomal RNA". It matches the Rfam family "Bacterial small subunit ribosomal RNA", at positions 15 to 250 of the family's 1533-position model. The record is from RNAcentral.